AGUCGAGCGAGGUAGCAAUACCUAGCGGCAGACGGGUGAGUAACAUGUGGGAAUCUGCCUUUUGGUUCGGAACAACACGGGGAAACCUGUGCUAAUACCGGAUAAGUCCUAACGGAGAAAGUUUUAAUGCCAAAAGAUGAGCCCGCAUUUGAUUAGCUAGUUGGUGAGGUAAAAGCUCACCAAGGCGAUAAUCAAUAGCUGAUUUGAGAGGAUGAUCCCCCACACUGGUACUGAGAUACGGACCAGACUUC
RNAcentral lists this ribosomal RNA (251 nucleotides) under uncultured bacterium. RNAcentral's name for it is "partial 16S ribosomal RNA". It matches the Rfam family "Bacterial small subunit ribosomal RNA", at positions 60 to 339 of the family's 1533-position model. The record is from RNAcentral.